GUGCCUUGGGUUGCUGUUUCAUUACAGAUAUCGAUUUUUUUCAGAAUUUACGGCCAUGCUUUUAAUUAUAGUAACGGAGCUUCUAAACUGUAUUCUUACUAUUUUUUGUGUGAUUGCCGUCCGUUUGAACUUGCGCAAAUUGUUAAUAGUGUAUUUGACAUGUGAAAUAUUUUGCGUUUUUGCAAAUACAACUUUGGCCUUAGCAAUUGUAGGCGCUAAAAUAUCCGAUGGAAUUUAUUCUCUAGAUUAUAAUAAUAUUUUCUAUGAUUUUUGGCUUAAUAUCAGCCUCCUGGCAUCAUUCUUUACUAUUUUCAUUGCUUGUCAGAUAUACGUCUGCGUUAUGGUAAGCAACAAAUUAUCAUCAAUGCCACAAAAAGAAGUCUUUGACAAUAACGAAAAUCAAUGCCUUCAAGAUAUUAACGUCAUGACAAAAGA
Long non-coding RNA from Hyposmocoma kahamanoa, 435 nucleotides. RefSeq lists it as uncharacterized. The record is from RefSeq and is a predicted model, not a curated record. The transcript is spliced from 3 exons. Lineage: Eukaryota; Metazoa; Arthropoda; Insecta; Lepidoptera; Cosmopterigidae.